GCAGUUUAUAGUUAUCCAACUGAAGACUCAAGAGAGAAGCUUUUCCCAGUUUCAAGCCAAAUUACAGAUAAAGCUCCAAUUUUGAGUUGAUCUUCGUUGACUCAUUUCUUCCUAUGGGUUCAGGUCCUUAUACUUUCUUUGUAUCUUCUGGAGUUGAUAGGUAAGUAAUUCAUUCUCGUUAAGGUACCUGUGAUUUGUUUGUUUUUUGAUCUCCAUCUGCCACUAUAAAUUUCGAAUCUCAGUAUAAGCUUCUUUCAAUUGCAGACUGGCCCUGGCUAAUCCAUCAUAAUAAUACAUAUGCUUAUCUCAAUUGUAGUUGUGAAUUUCACAAUUGUACACUAUUUGUAGUUCAUCUAUCAUCGUACAAGAGGCUCGUUGCUCCAUUAAUUCGACAGUUUGUUCUCCGGGUCUAAUUUUCUCAUGAAUCGUAUGGGUAAUCCCUUGAUGUGCAUCUAUGAUCUCCAACGUCAAUUUUAUUGAGUCGCGAAGAGUAGUGUACAUAAAGUUAGGUGGAGGCAGGUUUAAUUUAGCUACUACAUCCUCCAGAAUCAUGCUUUUAGACACUAUAAUAAACUCUCUCUCCAUUUUUUAUUUUUGGUUAUGUCUUGCUAUGGAUUCUAGACUGUUACCUUAUGGCCAAUUUAUAUAGACAAGUGCCGACCAAAUGCAAUCUUAUAUUUGUUCCCACAAAUCCAAAUGUUUGCCACUA
Long non-coding RNA from Tripterygium wilfordii, 709 nucleotides. RefSeq lists it as uncharacterized. The transcript is spliced from 2 exons. The record is from RefSeq and is a predicted model, not a curated record. Lineage: Eukaryota; Viridiplantae; Streptophyta; Magnoliopsida; Celastrales; Celastraceae.